RNAcentral lists this long non-coding RNA (420 nucleotides) under Cavia porcellus (domestic guinea pig). RNAcentral describes it as "lncRNA (ENSCPOG00000037498.1)". The record is from RNAcentral. Lineage: Eukaryota; Metazoa; Chordata; Mammalia; Rodentia; Caviidae.
CUUCUAGCCACUAAGUCCCACUGAACGCAGCUCUGCUUAUGUUGCUUUCUGAAAAUUUAACUCACUACAGACUAGAUUCUGAUGCUGCCUUCCUGUAGCUUCAGUUACCUCCACUAGCUGCUGGAGGCAGAGCUUUGUCUUUCACUCAGGCUAAGAAAGCUGUUUUGUCUCAAGAACAUUUUUUUGAAUUUCCAGAAAAGAUGGGCUAUACUUCAGUGGUAAACUACUUGCCCAGCCUAUGCAAGGCCUUUGAUCCUCAGCACUCAAAAGGAAAAUUUCAUCUGAAGAAACUGACCACUCUGUCUUUCCUAUAUCUUUUAGGGAUGAUCAGCUCUCUCAGGAGGAAAACCUAAUGAUUCGAAGUUUCCUGGACUCCCAGAGAAUGAGGAUUUAUUGUCCUUGAUGUAACUCAGAUCUUUA